CGGUUAGCGGAUGCUGUCGCUAUGUCAUCCCUCUCUGUCUCGCCACAUCACACCAGAGAUGCUGCUGCUGCCUCAGCCUCCCAGAUGCAGCGUUGACUCAACACUGCUGCAGCAGCCAGUUCCUACAGAUUCUCCCAACUGAGCUGUGAAUCUCUGCAGCUCUUCCAGAGUUACCACGGGCAUCCUGGCAGGUCCUCUUACUAAUGUUCUGGAUUACCAUUUAAAUGUUCUUAGACAUUUCUUUCUUUCAUUUAUUCACUCAGAUCAGGCAACUGUGGUAGAUGAGUCUUUGCGAGAUGUUUUCUGUUAAAGAUGAUGUUUGAGACACUUAAUAUUAGACCUAACAACAGGAGGGGGGGAAAACAGCACAAACAGUUGUUCUUGUUUAAUAUUUUUACUUUAAACUGUCCAAAUUAUAAAAUAACAUGAUCUCUACUUGAUCUACAAAAAAAAAACCCAAAAACAAUAAAACAAUGACUGUAAUAAGCAUCGAUUUUUUUGCUCUAACAACUUUUUAGACAUGCAUACUGUUGAGAAAUAUAAAAAUAUAAAUAUAAAUACAUCCCCUUAAUAUUCUUAAUGAAUCCAUGACUAAGAUCUGAAAUGUUUUUUCAUAAAAGAAUUAAAAUGCAGUUGAGUACGAUAAGGCAUUAAAGAUGUAAGAGACAAGAGCUGUACAGAAGCCUAGAGUAGAGGUAUCAUUAUUAUUAUUUUUUUUAGUGUAAUGGAGAAAACCUAAAAUUAAUUUCCAA
Molecule: long non-coding RNA, 752 nt
Organism: Girardinichthys multiradiatus
Lineage: Eukaryota; Metazoa; Chordata; Actinopteri; Cyprinodontiformes; Goodeidae
Exons: 2
Source: RefSeq, a predicted model, not a curated record